Long non-coding RNA from Spea bombifrons (plains spadefoot toad), 330 nucleotides. RefSeq lists it as uncharacterized. The record is from RefSeq and is a predicted model, not a curated record. NCBI's taxonomy places the organism in Eukaryota, Metazoa, Chordata, Amphibia, Anura, Pelobatidae. The transcript has 2 exons.
UCAUGUUCCGUAGCGCUGUACAAAUGGGAUAGUUAAGUCAUAAGGGAUUUUUGCAGAUUUUUGUGAAAUAAUGCAAUAAUUUUAAUCAAAACACCAGGUGUAUAAUUCGUGACCUUUUCGGCCAUAGGCGAUUUGGGUAUGGGACGCCUAACGCCAUUUGCGGCCUCUGGACUUAAAGGGCGACAUCAUAUUUUAUGCUUCCUGUUUGUGAUGGAAGCGGAUGGGGAAUGCCAAAGGAUCCUGGAAAAAGGAUCUGGCGUUUUAUUGGGCUGAAAUGAGUACAUCACGCACGUUGUGCCGGAAUGGGAAAGCCUAACAAAAAAAACAAAA